This 624-nucleotide ribosomal RNA is filed under the name Kineococcus sp. Ri2Ps_5081. Its description in RNAcentral is "bacterial SSU rRNA". It matches the Rfam family "Bacterial small subunit ribosomal RNA", at positions 387 to 1020 of the family's 1533-position model. The record is from RNAcentral. Lineage: Bacteria; Bacillati; Actinomycetota; Actinomycetes; Kineosporiales; Kineosporiaceae.
UGCAGCGACGCCGCGUGAGGGAUGACGGCCUUCGGGUUGUAAACCUCUUUCAGCUCCGAAGAAGCGAAAGUGACGGUAGGAGCAGAAGAAGCACCGGCUAACUACGUGCCAGCAGCCGCGGUAAUACGUAGGGUGCAAGCGUUGUCCGGAAUUAUUGGGCGUAAAGAGCUCGUAGGCGGUGUGUCGCGUCUGCUGUGAAAACUCAGGGCUCAACUCUGAGCUUGCAGUGGGUACGGGCAUACUAGAGUGCUGUAGGGGAGACUGGAAUUCCUGGUGUAGCGGUGAAAUGCGCAGAUAUCAGGAGGAACACCGGUGGCGAAGGCGGGUCUCUGGGCAGUUACUGACGCUGAGGAGCGAAAGCAUGGGGAGCGAACAGGAUUAGAUACCCUGGUAGUCCAUGCCGUAAACGUUGGGCGCUAGGUGUGGGGUCCAUUCCACGGAUUCCGUGCCGCAGCUAACGCAUUAAGCGCCCCGCCUGGGGAGUACGGCCGCAAGGCUAAAACUCAAAGGAAUUGACGGGGGCCCGCACAAGCGGCGGAGCAUGCGGAUUAAUUCGAUGCAACGCGAAGAACCUUACCAAGGCUUGACAUGCGCGGUGGAAUCCCAGAGAUGGGGUGUCAUUUA